RNAcentral lists this ribosomal RNA (1874 nucleotides) under Salmonella enterica subsp. enterica serovar Infantis. RNAcentral describes it as "partial 23S ribosomal RNA". Lineage: Bacteria; Pseudomonadati; Pseudomonadota; Gammaproteobacteria; Enterobacterales; Enterobacteriaceae. The record is from RNAcentral.
GGGCGUUAAGUUGCAGGGUAUAGACCCGAAACCCGGUGAUCUAGCCAUGGGCAGGUUGAAGGUUGGGUAACACUAACUGGAGGACCGAACCGACUAAUGUUGAAAAAUUAGCGGAUGACCUGUGGCUGGGGGUGAAAGGCCAAUCAAACCGGGAGAUAGCUGGUUCUCCCCGAAAGCUAUUUAGGUAGCGCCUCGUGAAUUCAUCUCCGGGGGUAGAGCACUGUUUCGGCUAGGGGGCCAUCCCGGCUUACCAACCCGAUGCAAACUGCGAAUACCGGAGAAUGUUAUCACGGGAGACACACGGCGGGUGCUAACGUCCGUCGUGAAGAGGGAAACAACCCAGACCGCCAGCUAAGGUCCCAAAGUCAUGGUUAAGUGGGAAACGAUGUGGGAAGGCCCAGACAGCCAGGAUGUUGGCUUAGAAGCAGCCAUCAUUUAAAGAAAGCGUAAUAGCUCACUGGUCGAGUCGGCCUGCGCGGAAGAUGUAACGGGGCUAAACCAUGCACCGAAGCUGCGGCAGCGACGAGGCCGAAAGGCGUAGUCGAUGGGAAACGGGUUAAUAUUCCCGUACUUGGUGUUACUGCGAAGGGGGGACGGAAGGCGCUUGAGAGAACUCGGGUGAAGGAACUAGGCAAAAUGGUGCCGUAACUUCGGGAGAAGGCACGCUGACAYGUAGGUGAAGUGAUUUACUCAYGGAGCUGAAGUCAGUCGAAGAUACCAGCUGGCUGCAACUGUUUAUUAAAAACACAGCACUGUGCAAACACGAAAGUGGACGUAUACGGUGUGACGCCUGCCCGGUGCCGGAAGGUUAAUUGAUGGGGUCAGCGCAAGCGAAGCUCCUGAUCGAAGCCCCGGUAAACGGCGGCCGUAACUAUAACGGUCCUAAGGUAGCGAAAUUCCUUGUCGGGUAAGUUCCGACCUGCACGAAUGGCGUAAUGAUGGCCAGGCUGUCUCCACCCGAGACUCAGUGAAAUUGAACUCGCUGUGAAGAUGCAGUGUACCCGCGGCAAGACGGAAAGACCCCGUGAACCUUUACUAUAGCUUGACACUGAACAUUGAGCCUUGAUGUGUAGGAUAGGUGGGAGGCUUUGAAGYGUGGACGCCAGUCUGCRUGGAGCCGACCUUGAAAUACCACCCUUUAAUGUUUGAUGUUCUAACGUGGACCCGURAUCCGGGUUGCGGACAGUGUCUGGUGGGUAGUUUGACUGGGGCGGUCUCCUCCUAAAGAGUAACGGAGGAGCACGAAGGUUGGCUAAUCCUGGUCGGACAUCAGGAGGUUAGUGCAAUGGCAUAAGCCAGCUUGACUGCGAGCGUGACGGCGCGAGCAGGUGCGAAAGCAGGUCAUAGUGAUCCGGUGGUUCUGAAUGGAAGGGCCAUCGCUCAACGGAUAAAAGGUACUCCGGGGAUAACAGGCUGAUACCGCCCAAGAGUUCAUAUCGACGGCGGUGUUUGGCACCUCGAUGUCGGCUCAUCACAUCCUGGGGCUGAAGUAGGUCCCAAGGGUAUGGCUGUUCGCCAUUUAAAGUGGUACGCGAGCUGGGUUUAGAACGUCGUGAGACAGUUCGGUCCCUAUCUGCCGUGGGCGCUGGAGAACUGAGGGGGGCUGCUCCUAGUACGAGAGGACCGGAGUGGACGCAUCACUGGUGUUCGGGUUGUCAUGCCAAUGGCACUGCCCGGUAGCUAAAUGCGGAAGAGAUAAGUGCUGAAAGCAUCUAAGCACGAAACUUGCCCCGAGAUGAGUUCUCCCUGAGACUUAGAGUCUCCUGAAGGAACGUUGAAGACGACGACGUUGAUAGGCCGGGUGUGUAAGCGCAGCGAUGCGUUGAGCUAACCGGUACUAAUGAACCGUGAGGCUUAACCUUACAACGCCGAAG